UACGGAGGAUGCAAGCGUUAUCCGGAUUCAUUGGGUUUAAAGGGUGCGCAGGCGGAAUGAUAAGUCAGUGGUGAAAUCUCUCAGCUUAACUGAGAAACUGCCAUUGAUACUGUCGUUCUUGAGUACAGUUGAAGUGGGCGGAAUGUGUCAUGUAGCGGUGAAAUGCUUAGAUAUGACACAGAACACCGAUAGUGAAGACAGCUCACUAAGCUGUAACUGACGCUCAUGCACGAAAGCGUGGGGAUCAAACAGGAUUAGAAACCCCUGUAGUCC
RNAcentral lists this ribosomal RNA (273 nucleotides) under uncultured prokaryote. Its description in RNAcentral is "partial 16S ribosomal RNA". It matches the Rfam family "Bacterial small subunit ribosomal RNA", at positions 524 to 796 of the family's 1533-position model. The record is from RNAcentral.